GUUUUUCAGCAAUUUGAGCUACAGUAGCUCUUCUGUGUGAUCAGACUAGACAAGAUCGGUAGAUCCACAUGCAUCAAGGUUCCUUGGGCACCCAUGACCCUUACAACAGUGUGCCGGUUGCUGUUUUGGAAAUGCUCUGACACCGUUGUCUAGCCCUCUUUAGAGUCACUCUGAUCUUCUCGCUUGCCCAUUUUUCCAGCUUCCAACACAAGAAAUUUAAGAGCUGCAUGUUCAUUUGCUGCCUAAUAUAUCCCACCUGUUGACAGAUGCCAUUGUAACGACAUAAUCAAUGUUAUUUACAUCAUCUGUCAGUGGUUUUAAUGUUGUGACUGAUCCGUAUAUAUUUUUGUUAGUAUGGGCGUCUCUAAGAAUGUAAG
Pelobates cultripes (western spadefoot toad) is the source of this 377-nucleotide non-coding RNA. Lineage: Eukaryota; Metazoa; Chordata; Amphibia; Anura; Pelobatidae. The record is from the annotation of a GenBank genome assembly.